This 1517-nucleotide ribosomal RNA is filed under the name Klebsiella pneumoniae. Its description in RNAcentral is "16S ribosomal RNA". It matches the Rfam family "Bacterial small subunit ribosomal RNA". Lineage: Bacteria; Pseudomonadati; Pseudomonadota; Gammaproteobacteria; Enterobacterales; Enterobacteriaceae. The record is from RNAcentral.
CUCAGAUUGAACGCUGGCGGCAGGCCUAACACAUGCAAGUCGAGCGGUAGCACAGAGAGCUUGCUCUCGGGUGACGAGCGGCGGACGGGUGAGUAAUGUCUGGGAAACUGCCUGAUGGAGGGGGAUAACUACUGGAAACGGUAGCUAAUACCGCAUAAUGUCGCAAGACCAAAGUGGGGGACCUUCGGGCCUCAUGCCAUCAGAUGUGCCCAGAUGGGAUUAGCUAGUAGGUGGGGUAACGGCUCACCUAGGCGACGAUCCCUAGCUGGUCUGAGAGGAUGACCAGCCACACUGGAACUGAGACACGGUCCAGACUCCUACGGGAGGCAGCAGUGGGGAAUAUUGCACAAUGGGCGCAAGCCUGAUGCAGCCAUGCCGCGUGUGUGAAGAAGGCCUUCGGGUUGUAAAGCACUUUCAGCGGGGAGGAAGGCGAUAAGGUUAAUAACCUUGUCGAUUGACGUUACCCGCAGAAGAAGCACCGGCUAACUCCGUGCCAGCAGCCGCGGUAAUACGGAGGGUGCAAGCGUUAAUCGGAAUUACUGGGCGUAAAGCGCACGCAGGCGGUCUGUCAAGUCGGAUGUGAAAUCCCCGGGCUCAACCUGGGAACUGCAUUCGAAACUGGCAGGCUAGAGUCUUGUAGAGGGGGGUAGAAUUCCAGGUGUAGCGGUGAAAUGCGUAGAGAUCUGGAGGAAUACCGGUGGCGAAGGCGGCCCCCUGGACAAAGACUGACGCUCAGGUGCGAAAGCGUGGGGAGCAAACAGGAUUAGAUACCCUGGUAGUCCACGCCGUAAACGAUGUCGAUUUGGAGGUUGUGCCCUUGAGGCGUGGCUUCCGGAGCUAACGCGUUAAAUCGACCGCCUGGGGAGUACGGCCGCAAGGUUAAAACUCAAAUGAAUUGACGGGGGCCCGCACAAGCGGUGGAGCAUGUGGUUUAAUUCGAUGCAACGCGAAGAACCUUACCUGGUCUUGACAUCCACAGAACUUUCCAGAGAUGGAUUGGUGCCUUCGGGAACUGUGAGACAGGUGCUGCAUGGCUGUCGUCAGCUCGUGUUGUGAAAUGUUGGGUUAAGUCCCGCAACGAGCGCAACCCUUAUCCUUUGUUGCCAGCGGUUCGGCCGGGAACUCAAAGGAGACUGCCAGUGAUAAACUGGAGGAAGGUGGGGAUGACGUCAAGUCAUCAUGGCCCUUACGACCAGGGCUACACACGUGCUACAAUGGCAUAUACAAAGAGAAGCGACCUCGCGAGAGCAAGCGGACCUCAUAAAGUAUGUCGUAGUCCGGAUUGGAGUCUGCAACUCGACUCCAUGAAGUCGGAAUCGCUAGUAAUCGUAGAUCAGAAUGCUACGGUGAAUACGUUCCCGGGCCUUGUACACACCGCCCGUCACACCAUGGGAGUGGGUUGCAAAAGAAGUAGGUAGCUUAACCUUCGGGAGGGCGCUUACCACUUUGUGAUUCAUGACUGGGGUGAAGUCGUAACAAGGUAACCGUAGGGGAACCUGCGGCUGGAUCACCUCCUU